This is a long non-coding RNA of Rhinopithecus roxellana (golden snub-nosed monkey), 391 nucleotides long. RefSeq lists it as uncharacterized. NCBI's taxonomy places the organism in Eukaryota, Metazoa, Chordata, Mammalia, Primates, Cercopithecidae. The transcript has 3 exons. The record is from RefSeq and is a predicted model, not a curated record.
GCCUUCAAAGUUAUCAGUUCAGCAGAGGAAGCACUGCAGGCAGCUCCUGGGCCCUCGGGUCAGGUUGCAGAUUCAUCACCUAGCUACUUGUUUGUGGUGUUACCAUCUUUUUCUCCCUGACGUAUCUUGGAACUUGACGAAAUCUGAUAUAUUUCUCAACAGUGAGACGUGCCUUUCACCUUCUGCCAUGAUUGUGAGGCCUCCCCAGUCAUGUGGAACUGGCAACCAUGGAAGUCUAGGAUCAAAGAAGGCAGAUCUUCUACUUGCCUGCUUCCCUGAAGAACUGCUUGAAACAGAGUCCAACCUCUCCCCCAUCUAAAAAUCCUUGACAUAUUCAGUUGAAAAAAAUAUAUACUUCUACCAAAAAAAAUAAAACACCUUUUCUUGUGUU